Molecule: non-coding RNA, 30 nt
Filed under: Mus musculus (house mouse)
Lineage: Eukaryota; Metazoa; Chordata; Mammalia; Rodentia; Muridae
Source: RNAcentral
UACAUCAUGGUUCAGGUGCUUUUCCAAAGA